Long non-coding RNA from Herpailurus yagouaroundi (jaguarundi), 937 nucleotides. RefSeq lists it as uncharacterized. NCBI's taxonomy places the organism in Eukaryota, Metazoa, Chordata, Mammalia, Carnivora, Felidae. The record is from RefSeq and is a predicted model, not a curated record. The transcript is spliced from 2 exons.
UAGGGUGAGAGAGAGAGGGAGACAUACCGGGAAAAAUUAUUUGCAACGGAUCUCACAGACCAAGAGCUCAUUUCACUAAUAUAUAAAAAGCUCCGAGAUCUCAAUAAGCGAAAAUAUCAGCAACCCAACAGAAGCUUAUACAAAGGAUGUGGGUGGGCAAAUCCAUAGGAAAGAAAAUUCAAAUGUCUCUUGACCUAGGGAAAACGUUCAGCCGUGCUCAUAGUAAGAGAAACGCAAAUUAAAACACACGGAGGUAACACUCUUCACCGAUCAGGUUGGCAAAGAUCCAAAAGGUCGAUGAUGUGGCAUGUUGAUGGGGCUGAGGGCAAUGGGAAAGAACGUCUUAUGUGUGGCUCAUACAACCCCAUGCGGAGGACAUGGGCUUUUCAGAUUGAAAACUCCCAUAUCCUUUGACCCUGAGAUUAAAGAUCAGGGAAUGUGUUCUAUGGAUUAACCUUCCCCAGUAUAAAAUGACUUCUGGGCAGGGUCAUUUGCCACAUCUUAGUUUUUUAAUGGCUAAAGAUUGGAAAUAUCCAAGUGGGCGUCCAUGGGGAACCGAUUUAAUAAAUUAUGCUCCAUUCAUACAGUGGAACAAGACAGCUGUACGAAAAGGUGGGGAAGGUCUCCGGAACGCCGUGAACUAAGAGGGAGAGAUCGCCAAAGUAAGCAGUUAAGAUAGAAAGGCAGGCGGCUGGACGGUUCUUACGGUACGCUAACUUGGUGUAAAAACGGGAGAAAAGUCAAUCUGUAAUAUUUGCAUUUCUUAUAAACAUAUAAAGAAACUCUGGAGGGAUGCACAAAGACAGUGGCUACCUGUGUGUGCCGGCAGGGGGGAGGGGGACCUUUUAUAUCCCUUUUAUAUAUCUUUGAAAUUUGAACCAUGGGCGUGUGUAAGCCAUUCAACAAAAUUAAGUAAAAUUUGAAUAAAGGAAAUAAG